RNAcentral lists this ribosomal RNA (967 nucleotides) under Pediococcus pentosaceus. RNAcentral's name for it is "bacterial SSU rRNA". It matches the Rfam family "Bacterial small subunit ribosomal RNA", at positions 61 to 997 of the family's 1533-position model. RNAcentral also lists the same sequence under 1 other name. The record is from RNAcentral. Lineage: Bacteria; Bacillati; Bacillota; Bacilli; Lactobacillales; Lactobacillaceae.
GUUAAUUGAUUAUGACGUACUUGUACUGAUUGAGAUUUUAACACGAAGUGAGUGGCGAACGGGUGAGUAACACGUGGGUAACCUGCCCAGAAGUAGGGGAUAACACCUGGAAACAGAUGCUAAUACCGUAUAACAGAGAAAACCGCAUGGUUUUCUUUUAAAAGAUGGCUCUGCUAUCACUUCUGGAUGGACCCGCGGCGUAUUAGCUAGUUGGUGAGGUAAAGGCUCACCAAGGCAGUGAUACGUAGCCGACCUGAGAGGGUAAUCGGCCACAUUGGGACUGAGACACGGCCCAGACUCCUACGGGAGGCAGCAGUAGGGAAUCUUCCACAAUGGACGCAAGUCUGAUGGAGCAACGCCGCGUGAGUGAAGAAGGGUUUCGGCUCGUAAAGCUCUGUUGUUAAAGAAGAACGUGGGUAAGAGUAACUGUUUACCCAGUGACGGUAUUUAACCAGAAAGCCACGGCUAACUACGUGCCAGCAGCCGCGGUAAUACGUAGGUGGCAAGCGUUAUCCGGAUUUAUUGGGCGUAAAGCGAGCGCAGGCGGUCUUUUAAGUCUAAUGUGAAAGCCUUCGGCUCAACCGAAGAAGUGCAUUGGAAACUGGGAGACUUGAGUGCAGAAGAGGACAGUGGAACUCCAUGUGUAGCGGUGAAAUGCGUAGAUAUAUGGAAGAACACCAGUGGCGAAGGCGGCUGUCUGGUCUGCAACUGACGCUGAGGCUCGAAAGCAUGGGUAGCGAACAGGAUUAGAUACCCUGGUAGUCCAUGCCGUAAACGAUGAUUACUAAGUGUUGGAGGGUUUCCGCCCUUCAGUGCUGCAGCUAACGCAUUAAGUAAUCCGCCUGGGGAGUACGACCGCAAGGUUGAAACUCAAAAGAAUUGACGGGGGCCCGCACAAGCGGUGGAGCAUGUGGUUUAAUUCGAAGCUACGCGAAGAACCUUACCAGGUCUUGACAUCUUCUGACAG